This 73-nucleotide transfer RNA is filed under the name Daphnia pulicaria. Its description in RNAcentral is "tRNA-Phe". It matches the Rfam family "tRNA". From Rfam's summary of the family: Transfer RNA (tRNA) molecules are approximately 80 nucleotides in length. Their secondary structure includes four short double-helical elements and three loops (D, anti-codon, and T loops). Further hydrogen bonds mediate the characteristic L-shaped molecular structure. tRNAs have two regions of fundamental functional importance: the anti-codon, which is responsible for specific mRNA codon recognition, and the 3' end, to which the tRNAs corresponding amino acid is attached (by aminoacyl-tRNA synthetases). tRNAs cope with the degeneracy of the genetic code in two manners: having more than one tRNA (with a specific anti-codon) for a particular amino acid; and 'wobble' base-pairing, i.e. permitting non-standard base-pairing at the 3rd anti-codon position. Lineage: Eukaryota; Metazoa; Arthropoda; Branchiopoda; Diplostraca; Daphniidae. The record is from RNAcentral.
GGCCUGUUAGCUCAGUUGGUUAGAGCGCCGUGCUAAAACCCGGAGGUCAUGAGUUCGAUCCUCUUACGGGCCA